Salvia miltiorrhiza (redroot sage) is the source of this 710-nucleotide long non-coding RNA. RefSeq lists it as uncharacterized. NCBI's taxonomy places the organism in Eukaryota, Viridiplantae, Streptophyta, Magnoliopsida, Lamiales, Lamiaceae. The record is from RefSeq and is a predicted model, not a curated record. The transcript has 2 exons.
UUUAAAGCAUUUUCACGAGUUUUUAGUCAGCAAACCCUGAAGAAUUAUUACAGUUUUUAUAGUACAACCCGGAAGAUUUUUUUUAUUUUAUUUUAUUUUAUUCCACUACUCCCACCUACUCUCCACCUUUCCUCCCACUUUCCCUUCCACUACUCCCACCACCAACUUCCACUGCACCUUUCCUUCCACUUAUUCCAUCAACCACCGACUCCCUCACAAUUUUAUAUCAUAUGCUUCCCUUUACACCACUAUACCAACUAAAACAUUUUAUAUCAGCUAAGGGAAGCUUUAACUCUGUUUCAAACAAAUCACCACAAUUUAUUCUCACAAGAAAAACGCAGAUGGAGGGCCUUAUUCACCAAAUUCCCUCUUUCAAGAACAGAACUUGAACUUACAAAGUUUUUGUUGCUGCAUGCUUUCACACCACAAGAAGCUUGGUUUUAAAGGACUCUCCCUCAACAGAUCAACAAAUCAGUAUCACAAGGUUGAGCAGUUGAUGGAAUGGAAUGAUGUUGAGCGGGUGUUCCUUUGACAUUUCAAGAAAUGUAACCUUGAGUAUACAUCUUCAUAUGUAUAUCUCACACGUUUUCCGCUGCAAAACACUUUGAUUAGGAUAACUUUAUGUUAUGAAAUUGUGACACGUGUUAUUGGGUAACCCACCUUAAUCAGUUCUCAUUUAUGUGUAUGUUUUAUAAGUAUCCAAAUAAUCA